This 253-nucleotide ribosomal RNA is filed under the name uncultured bacterium. RNAcentral's name for it is "partial 16S ribosomal RNA". It matches the Rfam family "Bacterial small subunit ribosomal RNA", at positions 524 to 776 of the family's 1533-position model. The record is from RNAcentral.
UACGUAGGGUGCAAGCGUUGUCCGGAAUUAUUGGGCGUAAAGAGCUCGUAGGCGGCUUGUCACGUCGACUGUGAAAACCCGGGGCUCAACUCCGGGCCUGCAGUCGAUACGGGCUGGCUUGAGUGCGGUAGGGGAGACUGGAAUUCCUGGUGUAGCGGUGAAAUGCGCAGAUAUCAGGAGGAACACCGGUGGCGAAGGCGAGUCCCUGGACAAUCCCUGACACUGAGGCACGAAAGCUAGGGGAGCAAACAGG